GCAUGGCAACACGUUAAGUUGACUGAUACUAAUAAGUCGAGGGCUUGACCAAA
RNAcentral lists this ribosomal RNA (53 nucleotides) under Clostridium botulinum. RNAcentral's name for it is "partial 23S ribosomal RNA". Lineage: Bacteria; Bacillati; Bacillota; Clostridia; Eubacteriales; Clostridiaceae. The record is from RNAcentral.